RNAcentral lists this ribosomal RNA (484 nucleotides) under uncultured bacterium. RNAcentral's name for it is "partial 16S ribosomal RNA". It matches the Rfam family "Bacterial small subunit ribosomal RNA", at positions 30 to 507 of the family's 1533-position model. The record is from RNAcentral.
AUUGAACGCUGGCGGCAGGCCUAACACAUGCAAGUCGAGCGGAUGAAGGGAGCUUGCUCCUGGAUUCAGCGGCGGACGGGUGAGUAAUGCCUAGGAAUCUGCCUGGUAGUGGGGGAUAACGUCCGGAAACGGGCGCUAAUACCGCAUACGUCCUGAGGGAGAAAGUGGGGGAUCUUCGGACCUCACGCUAUCAGAUGAGCCUAGGUCGGAUUAGCUAGUUGGUGGGGUAAAGGCCUACCAAGGCGACGAUCCGUAACUGGUCUGAGAGGAUGAUCAGUCACACUGGAACUGAGACACGGUCCAGACUCCUACGGGAGGCAGCAGUGGGGAAUAUUGGACAAAGGGCGAAAGCCUGAUCCAGCCAUGCCGCGUGUGUGAAGAAGGUCUUCGGAUUGGAAAGCACUUUAAGUUGGGAGGAAGGGCAGUAAGUUAAUACCUUGCUGUUUUGACGGUACCAACAGAAUAAGCACCGGCUAACUUCGUG